RNAcentral lists this ribosomal RNA (407 nucleotides) under uncultured bacterium. RNAcentral's name for it is "partial 16S ribosomal RNA". It matches the Rfam family "Bacterial small subunit ribosomal RNA", at positions 28 to 526 of the family's 1533-position model. The record is from RNAcentral.
GACGAACGCUGGCGGCGUGCCUAAUACAUGCAAGUAGAACGCAGUUGCGAACGGGUGAGUAACGCGUAGGUAACUGCCUCAUAGCGGGGGAUAACUAUUGGAAACGAUAGCUCAUACCGCAUACUGUGAGAUGGACCUGCGUUGUAUUAGGUAGUUGGUGAGGGAAAGGCUCACCAAGGCGAAGUUACAUAGCCGGGCUGAGCGGGUGAACGGGCACAAUGGGACCGAGAAACGGGCCAGACCCCAACGGGAGGGAGCAGUAGGGAAACUUCGGCAAUGGAGGGAAGUCUGGACGAACAACGCCGGGGGAGUGAAGAAGGUUUUCGGAUCGGAAAGCUCUGUUGUUAGAGAAGCGGUAACUAACGAGAAAGGGACGGCUAACUACGUGCCAGCAGCCGCGGUAAUAC